CGAGACUUCCGGUACCCGGCUCUCGCAAAAUGGCGGCUGCGGUGGGCGCCUUUCCAGUCUCGUUUUCGUCGUUUCCAAUUCAGGAGGAAGAUGCUGGUGGCCAUCUUGGGACAAUGAGAGGAGCUAGUCUUAGAAUGAUGCGGACACCAAGGAAGGCACAGCAGAGAAAAGGAAACAAAAGGUCCUUGAUGACAUACUGAGUUAUAGAAUCAAGCUUCACUUGAAGCCAUGAUUGCCUGAAGCCUGUGGUAUCUCAUUCAUGUGAGCCAAUCAAUUUUCUUUAUUGUUUAAGCAAGUUUGAAUUGGGUUUUCUGUUACCUACAAUCAAAUGUGUAGAAAAAAAUUCUAGAAGAAAAUGUUAACAGUAAAUAUCUCUGAGUGGUGAAAAUAG
Long non-coding RNA from Lynx canadensis (Canada lynx), 391 nucleotides. RefSeq lists it as uncharacterized. The transcript has 2 exons. The record is from RefSeq and is a predicted model, not a curated record. NCBI's taxonomy places the organism in Eukaryota, Metazoa, Chordata, Mammalia, Carnivora, Felidae.